AAAAGAAUGCUACACACCCAACAUCACAACUCACACAGUCACAUGUAUAUAAGCAAUUAUGCACGAUUACAGUAUAUACUGCUAGUACUUGAUAGUUGAUACACAUUUACACAACGCAUGUUCGCUGCUCCACACCAAAAGAUAGCCAGAGCUAGCUGCCCAUGCAUGUAUGCGUUAUACAGAUUACACAUGACAUGUGGCAUGCAUGUACUAUGCGUACUUACCUUGAGAAGGUGCUAGCUCCAUGCACGCGGGCAUGCAUGAGGAUGCAGGUGGUGGUACAGUAUGUAUGUAGUAGGUGCUAAUCGAUCGAUGGAGUGGAUUAUGAAGGGCACUGGAACGAGGACGGCACGUGCUUGCCGCACUGGUUGACGAGCACCGAGAUGGCGACGGGGAGCACGAGUUUGACGUUCAGCACCUUGGCCUUGAUGGUGGUGCAGAGGCAGAGCGCGGCGUCGAGGUCGGCCACGCCGGACAGCAGCGGGCAGCAGGUCUCGCUGGCC
RNAcentral lists this long non-coding RNA (503 nucleotides) under Triticum aestivum (bread wheat). RNAcentral describes it as "long non-coding RNA (TAES_LNC024561)". The record is from RNAcentral. Lineage: Eukaryota; Viridiplantae; Streptophyta; Magnoliopsida; Poales; Poaceae.